Molecule: long non-coding RNA, 315 nt
Filed under: Papio anubis (olive baboon)
Lineage: Eukaryota; Metazoa; Chordata; Mammalia; Primates; Cercopithecidae
Description: lncRNA (ENSPANG00000037620.1)
Source: RNAcentral
AAUAUAUGCCAGGAUCAUCACAUGGUAGACAUUGUAAUACAACAUCCUCAGCAACAACCCUACAAUGGAUGUGGUGAUGAAGGCCGUAGAGAGUUUCCUCAAAAUACUCAUCAAGGGCCACAAAGACCUUUACAGGAGGAGCAACAAAGUAUAGCUGCCUGAGACAAAAAUCUAUUCAAGCUUAAAAUGCAAGAGCAUUAGCUGCUCAGAGCCGUCACCAAGGAGAGAUAAAAUACGUCUGCUCUCUCAAGACCUGGGAGAUGCUAGCAGUGUGAUUGUUUUUUUGGCUGGGAAAGCUGCUUAGCCGACAGAAAA